UAGGGAAUCUUCCACAAUGGGCGAAAGCCUGAUGGAGCAACGCCGCGUGUGUGAUGAAGGGUUUCGGCUCGUAAACACUGUUGUAAGAGAAGAAUGACAUUGAGAGUAACUGUUCAAUGUGUGACGGUAUCUUACCAGAAAGGAACGGCUAAAUACGUGCCA
RNAcentral lists this ribosomal RNA (162 nucleotides) under uncultured bacterium. RNAcentral describes it as "partial 16S ribosomal RNA". It matches the Rfam family "Bacterial small subunit ribosomal RNA", at positions 355 to 510 of the family's 1533-position model. The record is from RNAcentral.